GGAGCCCCGCAGGCAGGGCGCCCCGGGGAGAUAGGGGGCGGCAAGCGGCGGCGCACGGCGCCCCGGGUUGGGAGCUCGAGCCCAGCGGGGAGCUGCAGAGGGGCGCGCCGGGACUGGGAUGCGCAGGGCUCCGUGCGCAGCUGCCUGCGGCCCCCAGCCAGCCCCACUCCUGGGCGCGGCGCGGAGCUGGAGGCCGCUGCGGCGCAGCCGGGCACCUUCCGGAGGCGGCGGGUCCCCGCUCGGGGUCUGGGAUCCCCCCCCACACACACCUUGGCCGGGAAAGCCCGGCUCUGUAAAAUGACCAAAAAUGGAGGAUAAUUUAAACAUCCCCCAAAUUCAUGAAGAAAAGGUUUAAACUGAACUUACCGGACAUUCUGACCUGAAAGAAGAAGCAACUUUUAUAACAGCUGAUGUUGCAGCAGAAGAAUCAAUCACCUGGGCUCCUAGAUGCUGGGGGGAAAGGGAACAAAAAAACAAUAAUUUUAAAAUUUAAAAAAAGAAUACCUAAGACCACUGUGAAAAUUCCAGGUGGAGACCAACAAUAUUAAUGUUUUAUACCUACAGAUAUAAGUUUGAGUUUUUCUCCCCUAAUGCCAAGUAUUUAAAACCUCUAGAAACCAA
Long non-coding RNA from Malaclemys terrapin pileata, 621 nucleotides. RefSeq lists it as uncharacterized. The record is from RefSeq and is a predicted model, not a curated record. The transcript is spliced from 2 exons. NCBI's taxonomy places the organism in Eukaryota, Metazoa, Chordata, Testudines, Emydidae.